Long non-coding RNA from Camellia sinensis, 310 nucleotides. RefSeq lists it as uncharacterized. The record is from RefSeq and is a predicted model, not a curated record. NCBI's taxonomy places the organism in Eukaryota, Viridiplantae, Streptophyta, Magnoliopsida, Ericales, Theaceae.
UUUAGGGGUUUCAUCUCAUUUCUUCUUCAAAACUUGAGGAAAAGAUGUGGUGAUACCGCCUAACUAAAAGCGAGGAAAUGUGUGUUGAGAGUACGAAACUCUCAUUUUACUGUGACUCUGUGUGUAAGCCAAUGACUGUAUGUGUGUGGAUUUGAAUAACCGAUUUGUGUAAUCAGGCUCAAGCCUUGGAAACUUGUAAACCGUUGGGGAUAUUUAUUUAUUUAUUUACUUGUUGUUAGAUUAAUGUAUUGUUACAUGAAGAACUAUUAUAUCAUGUAAUGUAAAUUUGGAGAUUUAUAUUUGAUUUUUC